This 301-nucleotide ribosomal RNA is filed under the name uncultured bacterium. RNAcentral describes it as "partial 16S ribosomal RNA". It matches the Rfam family "Bacterial small subunit ribosomal RNA", at positions 509 to 810 of the family's 1533-position model. The record is from RNAcentral.
CAGUAGCCGCGGGAAAACGUAGGUGGCGAGCGUUGUCCGGAAUUAUUGGGCGUAAAGGGAGCGCAGGCGGACAUAUAAGUCCAUCUUAAAGUGCGGGGCUCAACCCCGUGAGGGGAUGGAAACUGUAUGCCUUGAGUGCAGGAGAGGAAAGCGGAAUUCCCAGUGUAGCGGUGAAAUGCGUAGAUAUUGGGAGGAACACCAGUGGCGAAGGCGGCUUUCUGGACUGCAACUGACGCUGAGGCUCGAAAGCCAGGGGAGCGAACGGGAUUAGAUACCCCAGUAGUCCCUGUCUCUUAUACAC